Molecule: long non-coding RNA, 2193 nt
Organism: Oreochromis aureus
Lineage: Eukaryota; Metazoa; Chordata; Actinopteri; Cichliformes; Cichlidae
Source: Ensembl
CCCUGGUCCAGAUUUCCAACGCCCUUGCUAAGUUUUCUUCGAGUGAGGACUUGAACAUUAUCGUCAAACUUUUUUAUUCUUUUUAUUUGUAUAAAUGAUUUGUACAAAUCUUUUUAUUUGUAUAAAUGCAUUUUCAAUUUUUUAUUUUGAAAAAAAUCUUUAUUUUGGAAAGUGAAAUGUGAUCCUCUCUCUAAAGUUAGAGAGAGGAUCACAUUUGGUGUUAAUAAUUUCAUUUGUUUAGAAGCAAUAUUAGUCCCGCCUUCCACCCAUGGGAUCACACCAGCACGCAUUAGCUAGGUCCAUUGACUGUUUUCUACAGUCAUUGGCUAGGUCUUUCACUUUGAAAGCAAAUGAGACAGGCUGCAGAUGGUGGUGCGGAAUUAUCGAUUGAUUUGCGAGCUGUCUGGAAGAAAGACUGGCUCAACUUCAUUUAGCCACAUCACCUGAGCAGGAGUCACCUGAGUCAGACCUGAACCAUCAAAGUGUGAGUGACAGGGUGUCUUUAAGCACCUUUGAAUCAAAUGUGAAAGGCAUGGGAAAGCAGACUCAAGGUCAUCAAAGGCCCAAAGGACCGUCCUGUAAACUGGCAAUAAACCAGAAUACCAAUAUAAAGAUUUUUCUUUCUAUUAACAGUGGCCAAGUAAGUUAGAAAACACAGUGGAUCAAAAAUUAAAAAGUGUGCCACUGCACAGUGUCUCCCCGCUCAGCAGAAAAGAGCCAGCCCCAUCCCUCAGCCCAGCCACACAUCCACCAUAGCAGCAGUCUGGAAGAAUCACACCCAUCAUAUUCACAUCGAGGUGAUAGUUACAUGUUUGCUCACUGGGUUUUCUCAUGUCUGCAGACACAAAGAACACAAAUAAUUUUGGGAACAACAUCCAGCACCAGGGGAAGCGGACAGGAGGGAGCCCCAGUGGAAGAUCUGGAAGAAUAUUGUAACUCAGUUACUAACUCAGUUACUUUUUUGAAGAAGUAACUAGUAACUGUAAUUAAUUACUUUUUCAAAGUAACUUGCCCAACACUGUUGCAGACAGACUGUCACUCUUCAGCCUUUAAAAAUCAAAGGCUUAUUUGACCAUCAAAGGUUUUGCUUAAUGGUCUUGCUAACAAACUGUAUUUGUGCUCCUGUCUCCCUCAAAGAUCUCCAGCAAAAUAAAGCCCCCCCCUCCUGCUGGGUGAGUCUAGAAGUGAACCAAUAGAAGUGUACCUUUUUUUUUCAUACCUGUAUCUGUCUGUCACAGAUGUGGGGAAAAAAGGGAAAACUCUAUUUUUUCCAAAAUGGGAAUCAUGAAGGGAAAGACAGCUGAAAUUAAACACGAAGACAUUUAUUAAUGGACAUUUAUUAACGUCCCCGGUUGACCUGGGGACGUCAACCGGCGCCCUCUCCGGUGGAAGAUCCGGAUAUGUGUGGGAUGAGGAGCAGCUGGCGCAGGGCAUUGCGCCUGUAAGCAAUUCUUAACCCCCCCCCCACCCCAGCACAAAAGAGCCAGCCCCAUCCCUCACCCCAGCCCAGCCCCAACCCACAGCACAACUGAUCAGGUAAGCUGACUUCUCACCUGAUCAGUUGUGUUGUCUCUUGUCCCCGGGUUGGCACAGAGCCAGCCCCAUCCCUCACCCCACCCCAGUCCAAACAAACUUUAGAUAAUCUCUCACAUGGAUUUUCAUUUCUGCCCCCCACCAUCCCACCUGGCGGGGGGGAGUGGGGGGAAUCCCUCACCCCACCCCAGUCCAAACAAACUUUAGAUAAUCUCUCACAUGGAUUUUCAUUUCUGCUCCCCACCAUCUCACCUGGCGGGGGGAGUGGGGGGCAUCCCUCAACCCGGCCCAGCCCAACUCCACAUCGACAGCCCAAGAGGACAAAGGAAAGGAAGGCAGCAGGUCCAGAUAGAAUCUGCUGCUGGACUGUGCAGAACAGCUUUGUCAGGUAAGAAGUCCAGAACGAAGGCUGCCAACAUCCAGAGACUGGUGACUCCUCGUGCGCUGCAGCACUCAAGAGACAGCACACCCAGAAGAACAAGGAGGAGGCCUCAGAGUACGCCAAGCUGCUGGCCAAGAGGAUGAAGACAGGAGGCCAAGGAGAAGUGCCAGGAACAGAUCGCCAAGAGGCGCCGCCUUCAUUCUAUGAGGGCGUCCACAUCCAAGUCAGAGUCCAGCCAGAAGUGAAACAGAAUCAAAUAAAGUCAUGUUUUGCUGAAA